This is a non-coding RNA of Pelobates cultripes (western spadefoot toad), 610 nucleotides long. The record is from the annotation of a GenBank genome assembly. NCBI's taxonomy places the organism in Eukaryota, Metazoa, Chordata, Amphibia, Anura, Pelobatidae.
AUUUUCUAUCGUAAUUGAGAGCACUCUUGUUGCCUUUUCUAUUCCUCUUUGAAGCCUUAAAUGACCAAGCGGUGCUGAUCGACGCACUUUCUUUAUAUAUUCCAUAAACGGGGAUUAUACCGCUGUAAGACCUUCACAGACCUGGCCAUAGCUCUUUUAAAUGUGAGUUUUCUACCUCCUCCUAUUUUUUUGCACUAUUGGCUGCCUCUGACUCUCUUUCUUCCAUAUAACGAACAUCUUGAGACAUACUGGCGCACCUAUCCCCACUGCAAAGUCUACUCAUCUACAUUUCAUCAAGUAUCUCUGAUCAUUCAUUGCUGCUCUAGUGAGAUUUUUGGGACUAUUUUAUUUGCUACUGGCACAGCCCUACUCCAUCUUUUUCUAUAUUAUAUAUAUGUUCACUUCCUGUUUAUUGGUCUUGUGAGUUGGGAGGUCUCCGACCAUUAUAGGUCACUCAGGUGUUACUUAUGUUUUAUUUAUGCUUUGGUAUAGAAAGGGGUUGUUCUUUUCACAAUAUGCACCCUUGAUAAAGGCAUACACGCCAAAAUGUUGGGGGGGCUAUUUGAUUUUUCACCCUCUUCUCACUCAUUCUGAUAUUUUUAUUUUCUUC